RNAcentral lists this ribosomal RNA (432 nucleotides) under uncultured bacterium. RNAcentral's name for it is "bacterial SSU rRNA". It matches the Rfam family "Bacterial small subunit ribosomal RNA", at positions 355 to 786 of the family's 1533-position model. The record is from RNAcentral.
UGAGGAAUAUUGGUCAAUGGUCGCUAGACUGAACCAGCCAAGUAGCGUGCGGGAUGAAGGCCCUCCGGGUCGUAAACCGCUUUUAGACGGGGAUAAAAGGGCGUACGUGUACGCCGUAUUGCAUGUACCGUCAGAAAAAGGACCGGCUAAUUCCGUGCCAGCAGCCGCGGUAAUACGGAAGGUCCGGGCGUUAUCGGAUUAUUGGGUUAAAGGGAGCGUAGGCGGACUUUCAAGUCAGUGGUAAAAUCGUGUGGCUCAACCAUACCUCGCCAUUGAAACUGGAAGUCUGGAGUGCACACAGGGGUGCCGGAAUUCAUGGUGUAGCGGUGAAAUGCUUAGAUAUCAUGAAGAACUCCGAUCGCGAAGGCAAGUGCCCGGGGUGCAACUGACGCUGAGGCUCGAAGGUGCGGGUAUCGAACAGGAUUAGAUACC